UCGAGAAUCUUCCGCAAUGGGCGAAAGCCUGACGGAGCGACACCGCGUGCAGGAUGAAGGCCUUCGGGUUGUAAACUGCUGUCAGGUUCUAGGAACCACUUGGCGUAAACAACGCCAAGCUUGACUAAGACCAAAGGAAGCAACGGCUAACUCUGUGCCAGCAGCCGCGGUAAGACAGAGGUUGCAAACGUUGUUCGGAAUUACUGGGCAUAAAGCGCACGUAGGCGGUCCGUUAAGUCAUGUGUGAAAUCCCCCGGCUCAACCGGGGAAUUGCGCCUGAUACUGGCGGGCUAGAGGUCGAUAGGGGUGAGCGGAACUCCAGGUGGAGCGGUGAAAUGCGUAGAUAUCUGGAGGAACACCGGUGGCGAAAGCGGCUCACUGGAUCGAAACUGACGCUGAGGUGCGAAAGCUAGGGUAGCAAACGG
RNAcentral lists this ribosomal RNA (425 nucleotides) under uncultured bacterium. RNAcentral's name for it is "bacterial SSU rRNA". It matches the Rfam family "Bacterial small subunit ribosomal RNA", at positions 355 to 775 of the family's 1533-position model. The record is from RNAcentral.